This 450-nucleotide ribosomal RNA is filed under the name uncultured bacterium. RNAcentral describes it as "partial 16S ribosomal RNA". It matches the Rfam family "Bacterial small subunit ribosomal RNA", at positions 338 to 795 of the family's 1533-position model. The record is from RNAcentral.
CCUACGGGCGGCUGCAGUGGGGAAUUUUGGACAAUGGGCGCAAGCCUGAUCCAGCCAUUCCGCGUGAGUGAAGAAGGCCUUCGGGUUGUAAAGCUCUUUCGCAAGGGAAGAAAACUUAUCCUCUAACAUAGGAUGAGGUUGACGGUACCUUGAUAAGAAGCACCGGCUAACUACGUGCCAGCAGCCGCGGUAAUACGUAGGGUGCUUACGUUACGCGGAGCUACUGGACGUUAAGCGUGCGCUGGCUGGUGAAAUCCCCGAGCUCAACUUGGGAACUGCGUUUGAAACUACAAGACUAGAAUAGGUCAGAGGGGGGUAGAAUUCCACGUGUAGCAGUGAAAUGCGUAGAGAUGUGGAGGAAUAUCAAUGGCGAAGGCAGCCCCCUGGGAUCAUAUUGACGCUCAUGCACGAAAGCGUGGGGAGCAAACAGGAUUAGAUACCCUUGUAGUC